This 589-nucleotide ribosomal RNA is filed under the name uncultured bacterium. RNAcentral's name for it is "bacterial SSU rRNA". It matches the Rfam family "Bacterial small subunit ribosomal RNA", at positions 34 to 651 of the family's 1533-position model. The record is from RNAcentral.
CGCUGGCGGCAGGCCUAACACAUGCAAGUCGAACGGAGUUAUAUUGUAGCUUGCUAUGGUAUAACUUAGUGGCAGACGGGUGAGUAAUAUAUAGGAAUCUACCUAGUAGUAUGGAAUAAUUGUUGGAAACGACAACUAAUACCAUAUACGCCCUACGGGGGAAAGAUUUAUUGCUAUUAGAUGAGCCUAUAUUAGAUUAGCUAGUUGGUGGGGUAAUGGCCUACCAAGGCAAUGACCUAUAGUUGAUCUGAGAGGAUGAUCAGCCACACUGGAACUGAGAUACGGUCCAGACUCCUACGGGAGGCAGCAGUGGGGAAUAUUGGACAAUGGGCGAAAGCCUGAUCCAGCCAUGCCGCAUGAGUGAAGAAGGCCUUCGGGUUGUAAAGCUCUUUUGGUGAGGAAGAUAAUGACGGUACUCACAGAAGAAGUCCUGGCUAACUCCGUGCCAGCAGCCGCGGUAAUACGGAGAGGGCUAGCGUUAUUCGGAAUCAUUGGGCGUAAAGGGCGCGUAGGCGGGUUAGUAAGUUAAAAGUGAAAUCCCAAGGCUCAACCUUGGAACUGCUUUUAAAACUGCUAAUCUAGAGAUUGA